CUACUCCUACGGGAGGCAGCAGUAGGGAAUCUUCCGCAAUGGACGAAAGUCUGACGGAGCAACGCCGCGUGAGUGAUGAAGGCUUUCGGGUCGUAAAACUCUGUUGUUAGGGAAGAACAAGUGCUAGUUGAAUAAGCUGGCACCUUGACGGUACCUAACCAGAAAGCCACGGCUAACUACGUGCCAGCAGCCGCGGUAAUACGUAGGUGGCAAGCGUUAUCCGGAAUUAUUGGGCGUAAAGCGCGCGCAGGUGGUUUCUUAAGUCUGAUGUGAAAGCCCACGGCUCAACCGUGGAGGGUCAUUGGAAACUGGGAGACUUGAGUGCAGAAGAGGAAAGUGGAAUUCCAUGUGUAGCGGUGAAAUGCGUAGAGAUAUGGAGGAACACCAGUGGCGAAGGCGACUUUCUGGUCUGUAACUGACACUGAGCGCUAGCUGCCCUC
Molecule: ribosomal RNA, 440 nt
Filed under: Bacillus sp. (in: firmicutes)
Lineage: Bacteria; Bacillati; Bacillota; Bacilli; Caryophanales; Bacillaceae
Description: bacterial SSU rRNA
Rfam family: Bacterial small subunit ribosomal RNA
Source: RNAcentral